This 520-nucleotide ribosomal RNA is filed under the name uncultured bacterium. RNAcentral's name for it is "partial 16S ribosomal RNA". It matches the Rfam family "Bacterial small subunit ribosomal RNA", at positions 28 to 507 of the family's 1533-position model. The record is from RNAcentral.
GACGAACGCUGGCGGCGUGCCUAAUACAUGCAAGUCGAACGCACUCUCGUUUAGAUUUAGGGAGUUUGGUCCUGAUUGAUAGACAGUUGAGUGAGUGGCGGACGGUCUAGUAAUUCGUGGGUAAUCAGCUCUAAAGAGUUGCGCUACUACUGGAUACAGACUCCAAUACCGCACAAAACAUAACACCACAUGGCGCAGUGGUGAAAGCCGGUUUCGGCUUUCAUUUUAGGCUGGGCCCGCGGUGCAAUAGUUAGCUGGCGGGGUAAAGGCUCACCAAGUCCGAGGUGCAUAGCCGACCUGAGAGGGUAAUCCGCCACCCUGGGACUGAGACACGGGCCAGACUCCUACGGGAAGCAGCAGUAGGGAAUCUUCCACAAUGGGCGAAAGUCUGAUGGAGGAACGCCGCGUGGGUGAAGAAGGGUUUCGGAUCGGAAAACUCUGUUGUUGGGGAAGAAUGUGUCUGAGAGUAACUGAUCAGGUAGUGACGGUAACCAACCAGAAAAGCACGGCUAACUACGUG